This 388-nucleotide ribosomal RNA is filed under the name uncultured bacterium. RNAcentral's name for it is "bacterial SSU rRNA". It matches the Rfam family "Bacterial small subunit ribosomal RNA", at positions 28 to 416 of the family's 1533-position model. The record is from RNAcentral.
GACGAACGCUGGCGGCGUGCUUAACACAUGCAAGUCGAGCGGUAAGGCCCUUUCGGGGGUACACGAGCGGCGAACGGGUGAGUAACACGUGGGUGACCUGCCCUUAGCUCUGGGAUAAGCCUGGGAAACUGGGUCUAAUACCGGAUAUGACCCCAUAACGCAUGUUGUGGGGUGGAAAGCCUUGUGCGGCUAGGGAUGGGCCCGCGGCCUAUCAGCUUGUUGGUGGGGUGAUGGCCUACCAAGGCGACGACGGGUAGCCGGCCUGAGAGGGCGACCGGCCGACACUGGGACUGAGACACGGCCCAGACUCCUACGGGAGGCAGCAGUGGGGAAGUCUUGCGCAAUGGGCGAAAGCCUGACGCUGCGACGCCGCGUGGGGAUGACGGCC